Stereum hirsutum FP-91666 SS1 is the source of this 111-nucleotide non-coding RNA. Lineage: Eukaryota; Fungi; Basidiomycota; Agaricomycetes; Russulales; Stereaceae. The record is from the annotation of a RefSeq genome assembly.
GGGCAUGUGGUGUACCUGGUUAACACAUUCGCACAAUAUAGACAUCUUUCUCGUCUGCUUUAUAAUGUUACUAUCUGCGAAAAGCAUGCGGUUCGAGUCCGGACGUGUCCC